AUUGAACGCUGGCGGAAUGCUUUACACAUGCAAGUCGAACGGCAGCACGGGGCAACCUGGUGGCGAGUGGCGAACGGGUGAGUAAUACAUCGGAACGUGCCCAAUCGUGGGGGAUAACGUAGCGAAAGUUACGCUAAUACCGCAUACGAUCUACGGAUGAAAGCGGGGGAUCGCAAGACCUCGCGCGAUUGGAGCGGCCGAUGUCAGAUUAGGUAGUUGGUGGGGUAAAGGCUCACCAAGCCAACGAUCUGUAGCUGGUCUGAGAGGACGACCAGCCACGCUGGGACUGAGACACGGCCCAGACUCCUACGGGAGGCAGCAGUGGGGAAUUUUGGACAAUGGGCGCAAGCCUGAUCCAGCCAUUCCGCGUGCAGGAUGAAGGCCUUCGGGUUGUAAACUGCUUUGUACGGAACGAAACGGUCCUUUCUAAUACAAGGGGCUAAUGACGGUACCGUAAGAAUAAGCACCGGCUAACUACGUG
This 481-nucleotide ribosomal RNA is filed under the name uncultured bacterium. RNAcentral describes it as "bacterial SSU rRNA". It matches the Rfam family "Bacterial small subunit ribosomal RNA", at positions 30 to 507 of the family's 1533-position model. The record is from RNAcentral.